Molecule: unclassified non-coding RNA, 329 nt
Filed under: soil metagenome
Description: partial contains 5.8S ribosomal RNA, internal transcribed spacer 2, and large subunit ribosomal RNA
Rfam family: 5.8S ribosomal RNA (bases 1-120)
Source: RNAcentral
GAUGAAGAACGUAGCGAAAUGCGAUACUUGGUGUGAAUUGCAGAAUUCAGUGAAUCAUCGAAUCUUUGAACGCACAUUGCGCCCCUUGGUAUUCCGAGGGGCAUGCCUGUUCGAGCGUCAUUAUAACCCCUCAAGCUCAGCUUGGUGUUGGGGCCUGCUGCACUGGCAGCCCUUAAAAUCAGUGGCGGCGCCAUCUGGCUCUAAGCGUAGUAAUUCUUCUCGCUAUGGAGUCCUGGUGGAUGCUUGCCAUCAACCCCCAAUUUUUCUAUGGUUGACCUCGGAUCAGGUAGGGAUACCCGCUGAACUUAAGCAUAUCAAUACGCGGAGGA